This 451-nucleotide ribosomal RNA is filed under the name uncultured Devosia sp. RNAcentral's name for it is "bacterial SSU rRNA". It matches the Rfam family "Bacterial small subunit ribosomal RNA", at positions 8 to 507 of the family's 1533-position model. Lineage: Bacteria; Pseudomonadati; Pseudomonadota; Alphaproteobacteria; Hyphomicrobiales; Devosiaceae. The record is from RNAcentral.
AGAGUUUGAUCCUGGCUCAGAACGAACGCUGGCGGCAGGCUUAACACAUGCAAGUCGAACGCCCCGCAAGGGGAGUGGCAGACGGGUGAGUAACGCGUGGGAAUCUACCUAGUUCUACGGAACAACACAGGGAAACUUGUGCUAAUACCGUAUACGCCCUACGGGGGAAAGAUUUAUCGGAAUUAGAUGAGCCCGCGUAAGAUUAGCUAGUUGGUGGGGUAAUGGCCUACCAAGGCGACGAUCUUUAGCUGGUCUGAGAGGAUGAUCAGCCACACUGGGACUGAGACACGGCCCAGACUCCUACGGGAGGCAGCAGUGGGGAAUAUUGGACAAUGGGCGCAAGCCUGAUCCAGCCAUGCCGCGUGAGUGAUGAAGGCCUUAGGGUUGUAAAGCUCUUUCAGUGGGGAAGAUAAUGACGGUACCCACAGAAGAAGCCCCGGCUAACUUCGUG